CAAGUACAGUGAUGGAAAGAUGAAAAGAACUUUGAAAAGAGAGUGAAAAAGUACGUGAAAUUGUUGAAAGGGAAGGGCUUGAGAUCAGANUUGGUAUUUUGCGAUCCUUUCCUUCUUGGUUGGGUUCCUCGCAGCUUACUGGGCCAGCAUCGGUUUGGGCGGUAGGAUAAUGGCGUAGGAAUGUGACUUUNCUUCGGUNAAGUGUUAUAGCCUNCGUUGAUGCUGCNNGNCUAGACCGAGGACUGCGAUUUUAUCAAGGAUGCUGGNNNAAUNA
This 274-nucleotide ribosomal RNA is filed under the name Meyerozyma guilliermondii. RNAcentral's name for it is "partial 25S ribosomal RNA". It matches the Rfam family "Eukaryotic large subunit ribosomal RNA", at positions 345 to 637 of the family's 3401-position model. Lineage: Eukaryota; Fungi; Ascomycota; Pichiomycetes; Serinales; Debaryomycetaceae. The record is from RNAcentral.